This 914-nucleotide ribosomal RNA is filed under the name uncultured bacterium. RNAcentral's name for it is "bacterial SSU rRNA". It matches the Rfam family "Bacterial small subunit ribosomal RNA", at positions 33 to 938 of the family's 1533-position model. The record is from RNAcentral.
ACGCUAGCUACAGGCUUAACACAUGCAAGUCGAGGGGAAACGGCAUUAAGUGCUUGCACUUUUUGGACGUCGACCGGCGCACGGGUGAGUAACGCGUAUCCAACCUUCCCAUGACUAAGGGAUAACCUGCCGAAAGGCAGACUAAUACCUUAUGGUCUUCACUGACGGCAUCAGAUGUGAAGUAAAGAUUUAUCGGUUAUGGAUGGGGAUGCGUCUGAUUAGCUUGUUGGCGGGGUAACGGCCCACCAAGGCAACGAUCAGUAGGGGUUCUGAGAGGAAGGUCCCCCACAUUGGAACUGAGACACGGUCCAAACUCCUACGGGAGGCAGCAGUGAGGAAUAUUGGUCAAUGGGCGAGAGCCUGAACCAGCCAAGUAGCGUGCAGGAUGACGGCCCUAUGGGUUGUAAACUGCUUUUGUAUGGGGAUAAAGUCAAUCACGUGUGAUUGUUUGCAGGUACCAUACGAAUAAGGACCGGCUAAUUCCGUGCCAGCAGCCGCGGUAAUACGGAAGGUCCGGGCGAUAUCCGGAUUUAUUGGGUUUAAAGGGAGCGUAGGCCGGAGAUUAAGUGUGUUGUGAAAUGUAGACGCUCAACGUCUGACUUGCAGCGCAUACUGGUUUCCUUGAGUACGCACAACGUUGGCGGAAUUCGUCGUGUAGCGGUGAAAUGCUUAGAUAUGACGAAGAACUCCGAUUGCGAAGGCAGCUGACGGGAGCGCAACUGACGCUGAAGCUCGAAGGUGCGGGUAUCGAACAGGAUUAGAUACCCUGGUAGUCCGCACAGUAAACGAUGGAUGCCCGCUGUUGGUACCUGGUAUCAGCGGCUAAGCGAAAGCAUUAAGCAUCCCACCUGGGGAGUACGCCGGCAACGGUGAAACUCAAAGGAAUUGACGGGGGCCCGCACAAGCGGAGGAAC